RNAcentral lists this long non-coding RNA (477 nucleotides) under Eutrema salsugineum. Its description in RNAcentral is "long non-coding RNA (ESAL_LNC001124)". Lineage: Eukaryota; Viridiplantae; Streptophyta; Magnoliopsida; Brassicales; Brassicaceae. The record is from RNAcentral.
GAAGAGUCAUCGCCAAAAUCAGAUAAGCUUAAGCUAAGUAACCUCUGCGACGCAUGGCGAUUUCCAAGCUCUUUCUUCUCUCAGUAGUCAUUCUCUCCCUCCAUCGUCCUGUUCUUUCAGACAACGGUAAUUAAACUCGAAUCUCCUCAACUUAAGGUAUCUUGAUCGUGGUUUUGACAUAGGUCUGGUCUGAAAAUCGUCGAAUCUGUUUCAUUCGAUAGAUCUUGAACAUGAAAAGCCGUCUCUAUAAAGUCGGAUUUACCUUUGUUACUAAAUUACUUGCGAUUAAGAUUUAUAAUUUGUGUGUGUCUUUGUCUUUUGAAAUCCACAGAAGAGGAAGAAUUUCUUCUCAAAACCAUCAACAUCUACAGAACCUCCAUCAACCUAACAACACUAACACAAAACGACAACGCAGAAUGUCUCGCUGACGAAAUCGCAGACGAGUUCAAGAACCGACCUUGCACAAGCAACACUGGC